AUUCGAAGUUUGGAUCUUGAGCUUGGAAUAGCUCAAAGCUCUCCUGAAUUUUCCCCAGAAUCUGGAGUAAAGAAAUUCAUCUGUAAAAUAUUGUUACUCAAGUGUUUAUAGAUGUUAUAGUUAAUGUGAACUUUGCAAAAGGAUAUUCUUUAACAGAAACAUCACAUACCAACUCUGCGAUCAACCCAGGAAUCCGAUUUCCCAAAGGGAUCUAUUCCUGUCAGAAGAUGAUUUCUGAAGAAGUCUGUUGGCUAAGAUACCCAAAUGCAAAUGUGUAAUUCCAAUUGCUAUUGUACUAAAUUUCCUUGUUUCUAUCCCCCAGUCCUGGUUUCUAAACUUCUAUCUUAGGGGCUGACUCUCCCCUUGUGACCUGUCUGCCCAUCAGGGAAAGCAGUCGCUGGACAUCCCUCACAUCUCCAAGCAGAUUCCCAGCUACCUGACCAUAACUAUUGCUUUCCUUAAAUUUUGGGUCUUCUCCUAUGUUUUAAAUCAUGCAUACUCAUUCAGCUGGACAUAUAAUCUCUGAUUCAUCUCUCUAGUUGCUUCUAGGGUAAAAGCACUCAUAGGAGUCACUCAGAUGCCAGAUGCCAGCAUAACCUCGGCAAACAUACCAGCCUGACGCUCUGGACACAGCCUACAGUCAAUACCUCUCUCUCCUAAUGGUGACCUUCCAUUGGAACCCAUCACUCUCUUCUUUUUCGGAAAUUCUUUCAGUGGCUUCUCCCCACUUGUCCUCAAGCUCUCCUUCAGUUGUCCAGGAUUUUUCAGUCUAGGAAUUUCUAGAGCACAAAGUUUUAUUUUGACCUUGGCAGAAGGAAAGGGAAGGAAGAAAGAAGAAUAUGAUGCACCUCUCAGUUUAUACAGUUCUUUCCUCACAACAAUCUGGUAAAUGCCUGCUUCAGCUACCUUCUUGGCUGUUGGGACAAAUUGUUCUCAUCCAUCUGUUCAUCUGGACAAGGUCUUCAAAUACUUGAGGUAGUUAUGCUCACCAGUUCAUUGAUUGGUUUGCAGACUGUCAGUUACCCACAACCUGGCUUAGCCCAUCUGCCAACAUGGAUUUACUAGGAUGUGACUGCUGUGCAUGCUGCAUCUUCUUGGAGUCACCGGUGAGAGUUGGGUGAAAGGCAAACACUAAAAGGUGGCUGAGCAGCUCUGCAAGGGGGACUAGUCCUUCAAGAACACCUCAUAUUUCUCAGCAACAAGAUAUCCAGAGCUUGGUGCAUUGUAAACAGUUAAUAAAUGCUUAUUGAUUAACUGAUGGAUGUGUCA
RNAcentral lists this long non-coding RNA (1269 nucleotides) under Monodelphis domestica (gray short-tailed opossum). RNAcentral describes it as "lncRNA (ENSMODG00000031047.2)". Lineage: Eukaryota; Metazoa; Chordata; Mammalia; Didelphimorphia; Didelphidae. The record is from RNAcentral.